RNAcentral lists this ribosomal RNA (615 nucleotides) under uncultured Gammaproteobacteria bacterium. RNAcentral's name for it is "bacterial SSU rRNA". It matches the Rfam family "Bacterial small subunit ribosomal RNA", at positions 8 to 613 of the family's 1533-position model. Lineage: Bacteria; Pseudomonadati; Pseudomonadota; Gammaproteobacteria. The record is from RNAcentral.
AGAGUUUGAUCCUGGCUCAGAGUGAACGCUGGCGGCAGGCCUAACACAUGCAAGUCGAGCGGCAGCACAGCAGUAGCAAUACUGUGGGUGGCGAGCGGCGGACGGGUGAGGAAUACAUCGGAAUCUGCCUUGUUGUGGGGGAUAACGUAGGGAAACUUACGCUAAUACCGCAUAAGACCGUAAGGUGAAAGCGGGGGAUCGUAAGACCUCGCGCGACAAGAUGAGCCGAUGUCGGAUUAGCUAGUUGGUGAGGUAAUGGCUCACCAAGGCAACGAUCCGUAGCUGGUCUGAGAGGAUGAUCAGCCACACUGGAACUGAGACACGGUCCAGACUCCUACGGGAGGCAGCAGUGGGGAAUAUUGGACAAUGGGCGCAAGCCUGAUCCAGCCAUGCCGCGUGGGUGAAGAAGGCCUUCGGGUUGUAAAGCCCUUUUGUCCGGGAAGAAAUCGUACGGGUGAAUACCCCGUGCGGAUGACGGUACCGGAAGAAUAAGCACCGGCUAACUUCGUGCCAGCAGCCGCGGUAAUACGAAGGGUGCAAGCGUUACUCGGAAUUACUGGGCGUAAAGCGUGCGUAGGCGGUUGUUAAGUCUGUCGUGAAAGCCCUGGGCUCAAC